CUGCUUUCUUCUUGACCAUUAGUGGAUAGGAAAAAAAUGCUCUGAUUUUCUGUAACCAUUUGUCACCAAGGCCAUAAAGACAUUGAACUAAUUUCCUUAUUGGAGUUCAUUAUUGGAAGUCUUGAGGAGUUUACACAUUUAUCUACAAAGUAAGUAGGCCAGCUCAUUUGUCUUGGCUCAUGUGUAAUCUUUAAAGCAUAUUGAAAAAUUACUAUUCUCAAGUAAGGAUAAUGUAUAUCUCAGGUCACUUACAGUCUCAAAGUUUUGUCAGUAUACUUUAAAACAAUCCUGCGAACAGAUCUAGAUUGAAGGAGACUAAAGAAUCAUGAACUCGAGGUGGCCCCGGGGCAGGCGCAGAGCUGGCAAGCACGUGGUGGGGCCCCUGAGGCGUGCAGAGGGUCACGCACCUGGGAGCCUGUUGCUGGCACGGUCCGGGCGGAGGUUCUGCGGCGGGAGGCAGCCUGUCGGUUGCAGGGCUGAAAAAGCAGUUCUACAAGGCAAGCCAGCUGGUCAGUGAGAAGGUCGGAGGGGCUGAGGGGACCAAGCUGGACGAUGACUUCAAAGAGAUGGAGAUGUCAUCAGCAAGGCGGUGACGGAAAUGCUGGCAAGGACCAUCAAGUACCUGCAGCCCAACCCAGCCUCACAGGCUAAGCUGACCAUGCUCAACACAGUGUGCAAGAUCCAGGGCCAGGUGAAGAACCCCGGCUACCCGCAGUUGGAG
This 721-nucleotide long non-coding RNA is filed under the name Homo sapiens (human). RNAcentral's name for it is "non-protein coding lnc-SUZ12-7:1". The record is from RNAcentral. Lineage: Eukaryota; Metazoa; Chordata; Mammalia; Primates; Hominidae.